RNAcentral lists this long non-coding RNA (3973 nucleotides) under Sus scrofa (pig). RNAcentral describes it as "lncRNA (ENSSSCG00000052208.1)". The record is from RNAcentral. Lineage: Eukaryota; Metazoa; Chordata; Mammalia; Artiodactyla; Suidae.
AUAUGGAAAGGGAGUAAAAUUGUCAAAUUCAAGAAAUAUUUAGAAGGUAGAAUCACUCAGUAACAUAUUAAGAUUGAUUGGAUGUCAAAUCAGGGUGACUCCAUAUUUCUUUAAUAACUCAGUCCACUUACUAACAUAGGGAACCUAGGAAGAAUAGCAGGUGGUGGUAGAAGUAAGAAGUGGGGCUUGUGUGUGAACAAAGAGUUACUGAUCAGUUUGGAUGAAGUGUUGUUAAAAAAAAAAAAAAAAAUUCAGAGUUCCUGUCAUGGCUCAAUGGUUAAUGAACCCAACUAGUAUCCAUGAGGACCUGAGUUCGAUCCCUGGCCUUGCUUAAUGGGUUAAGGAUCCAGCUUUGCUGUGAGCUGCGGUGUAGGUCACAGAUGCAACUCAGAUCCACCAUUGCUGUGGCUGUGGUUUAGGCCGGCAGUGGUAUCUCCAAUUUGACCCCUAGCCUGGGAACCUCCAUAUGCCAUGGCUACUGCCCUAAAAAGACAAAAGACCUCCCCCCCCCAAAAAAAAAAAAUUCAACCGAGUACAUUUUAAAGAUCCUUUUGGUUUUACUCAAUGAUUCAAGAAUUGGGUAAUACCCUAUCUAGCUGGUAAAACUCUCUGAGGAACUGUGCAAACUUGAAAACCUACAGGCAGAAAGGAAUGGGAAUAAGCAAGUUUUACGAGCAAAAAGUGGAUUGUCUGGGGCAGGUCAUUUUCCUUUAGGGGAUGGCAGGAGUCUCUCAGGAAGAUGACCACACUAGUGCUGACCAGGUGAUUCCUGACUGACUGGAUUAAGAUCCCAUUUCUGGGAGAGACCAAAACUGUAAUUAAGUCUCAGUUUGGUGACAUAAGGUUUCAUAUAAGUACCUCCAUUUUGAACCUUUUUUUAAAAAAAACAGUUAUUUAAAGACUGUCAUGAAGGCAGCAGGUAAGGGCAUUGAAAGAAGAGAACCCCAAGACAAAUAUCAUUCACUUAACAAUUCUGUAUGGGAUCAAUCUUGACUAAAUGAGUUUAGCAAAUUUUGGUCAUGUAUAAGAAUUCAAGAGUAAAGGAAAAUUAGUAUCUUUUAACAGAGUGAAGACAAUACAGGUCAGAAACAAAACUGUUCAAUGAAGGACUUAAUAGCAAAGUGAUAGAUUUAAUUUUGAUUGUAGGUAUUCACAUUUUUAAUCUUCCAAUUGGUCUUUCCUACCUUUAAGAUUAAUUUUGAUCUCUUAAAGGCAAGUGCAAAAAGAAAAUUUGAUCAUGGUGUUUUAUGGUUUGGGAGGGUUUAUUUAUUCAUCUUUUGGCUGAGAAGAAGCUUGUGUUAAGUACUCAAAUCUACCAAACUUUACAAUCUAAGAAAAUAAUGAUAAUGAGGGAAAGUAAGAGGUCUUCUCAUUUUAACAGAAAGAUGUCAAAAUUCUCUGAAGGCAAUUUUCAGACUGAAAUGAUUGCCACAUUUUUGUUGAUCAGAGGUAAUUCUGCAUUGAAGGUUCUGCCUGAUACUUAGCUCUUGGAUAAUGGUAAAAGAUAUUACACAUCCUCCCACCUGGUAUUACAGCCUGCAUAGCAAUAAUGAAGACAGAUUAGCGCUAUUUACCUCCUGACACUGACAAGAGUAGCUUGUCUUUUUUCCUCUAUUUUAUCAUUAAAGUCUUGUUUUUCAGCAUUACAUUGCCCGAAGACAGCAUGCUGCAAUCUUGAAUACCAAAGGAAAGGUGUUUAAAUAGCAUUAAUGGCUUGGAUCACCUCCUGGCUAAAACCAAAGAUAUUCAGACUUAAUGCUUUCUUCCAUCCUUAAUUUAUACUUUUAUGGAAUCAUAAUGAACUUGAAGAAAAAGAUCAUUUUUUUUUUUUAUUUUCAGUGAUAGGAACAGAAAUGGGAAAAGGGGUCAGACACUUAUAUUAUAAAUAUAUAUGAUAUUUUGGUUUAUUAGAUGAUAUUUGAUAAGAAAUUUACCAACAUUCUAACAUUUGCCCUAACAUAUACUCUUCACAGAUGCCAGAUGGGAAGGAGAUCAAGGUGAUGGACAAGUUCAAUUUUUUGACAGACUACAUUGAGAGGAAUAUUGGAAAGAUUCAGUCUGAAUAUUAUUAAACAUUUUUCUUUUGGAUUCUGCCAGUUUUUCUUGAUUCAUCUCUGGUUACUCUCUGGUUUUCUUGGCUACCAAGAAAAUUGAUGGCCUUUCUUUUUUAUUACUGUUUUCUCCCCACACGAGAGUAUACAUUUAUUUCAACCAUAAGUCUUUGGUCUAGAUCUUUGAUAAAGUUUAAGUGGAUUAUAUCAUCUUGCCUUAUUCCUGUCGGCUGCCACUGCCAUUUCCCUAGAACAGCUUAUCAGAUUUGUUCAGCCUCACCUCCACCUCAAAAACCCAGCCUGAUUGCAGAAUUCUAUACCUGGUCAAGGAUGUGAUUCUUCUUUUGGCAAAGACAGAGUAAGCAUUCAUGCAUGGGGUCAGGUUGAUAGCAGCAGCAAUGUUAGACCUCUCAGCUGUAGUUUGGGUAUGUCUUAGCUGAAACUAUUUUCAGAUACCAUAGCCUGCAGUGGGGAAUUGUGUUGACCUGACUUAAGUUCUGACAGCCCAGUGCUCCACUUUGACGCUAGGACCCAAUGCUUUUUCUCUCCUCAUUAAUGAUCACAGUACCCUCACUGCCCCUUGCUGUCAGACUAAAGUUGAAUUCUUAUGAGCUGCAUAUUUUUACUUUCAUUCUCCUGUUGAAAAUCUGGAGACAGAGACUAUAGUUGCUCAUGAAUAGAAAUCUUAGCAUUUCAGAAUCAGAAAUGACUUAAUAACGUUUGAGUGAGGUUCUACAUCCUACCACAAGGGUGAAUAUGCUACAUUCACACAAAUCAAGGAUGAGAAUGGGGAGGAGUGGGUGGUGUCAGAAUGGUUUCUUAACUGGAGCUAGUGCUGGAAGGAUUGUUAGUUUGUCUGGAGAUUAUAUCAUUUCAUAAGGUGAUACAGUUCCUUCCUCUAUAGUGACCAUGAAAGGAUAGGGCAGUGUUUAAAACUUCAAGCUCUCAAGACAAACUCUUUGAUUUUGAGUCCAGUAUUUUAUUUCCUUGCUUAUGAUGCACUAAUUGUUAACUAAAGUCCUAAUUUCAUCCUCUAUAAAAUUUGAGAAAAUAUUAUUCACUUAACAGAGUUACUUUGAGAAUAAAAUGACCUUUACCUAUAAAGCCCUUAGCACCUUGCAUAACACAUGAUUGCUUAUGUGUGAAAAAUUUUAGUUGUUCAAUUAUUUGGGGGUCACCAACAUUUUUCUUUUAAACAAAAAACUAUUGUAGGGAUAAUAUAAUCAAACACACAAAAGAUCAGUUUACUCACAAAGCCACACACCAUAUAUAGACUUUGUGGAAUGCUAUUGGAUAGAACAAUUAAAAUUUACUAUUGGACUUGAGUUUCAAUCACAUGUAUAGGACAAAAAGAAAAAAGCACUCUGAGUUAUUUUCCUACCUGUAGUAUAACCCAUAACCCAGCCUUGCACACUCACAUUGUCCAACACACAAUAUACACAUAUCUUAGUGAAAAAAAGACAAGAAAAAGUUACAAAAGCUACUUUUUUUUUUUUUUUUUUUUUUAAGAAAAGAAUGGGAACAGAUGAACUACAUUUUUAGGAGGGGUACAGAAGUGAGGGUAUGGGACUGGUCAGACUCUCAUUAUUUGAAAGGUCAGAGUGGAGAAAAGACAGUGACUUAUGGUAUGAGAAGGUAAGCAUGAGAUCUAUUGUAGCUAAAAAUUUGCUUUUUUGUAAAGUAGACAACGAGAAGUUUCUAGAACUUGAAUAUUCUAGAAUCAGAAAUACUUAGGAGUUCCUGUCGUGGUACAGCAGAAACGAACCCGACUAGGAACCAUGUGGUUUUGGGUUCCAUCCCUGGCCUCGCUCAAUGGGUUAAGGAUUUGGCGUUGCCAUGAGCUGUGGUAUAGGCUGGCAGCUAUAGCUCUGAUUCAGCCCCUAGCCCGGGAACCUCCAUAUGCCGCGGGUGUGGCCCUAAAA